CCUACCGAGGGGCGCUGCAGGAGAUCUCUCCCAGGCUCGGUUUAAAACGGCGCUCACUGAUC
Azonexus hydrophilus is the source of this 62-nucleotide regulatory RNA element. It matches the Rfam family "SAH (S-adenosyl-L-homocysteine) riboswitch aptamer". NCBI's taxonomy places the organism in Bacteria, Pseudomonadati, Pseudomonadota, Betaproteobacteria, Rhodocyclales, Azonexaceae. The record is from Rfam.